AGUGAACGCUGGCGGCAGGCCUAACACAUGCAAGUCGAACGGCAGCACACUAAGAGCUUGCUCCUACGGGUGGCGAGUGGCGGAAGGGUGCGGAAUACAUCGGAAUCUACUUUUUCGUGGGGGAUAACGUAGGGAAACUUCCGCUAUUACCGCAUACGACCAACGGGUGAAAGCAGGGGAACUUUGGACCUUGCGCGUUUGAAUGAGCCGAUGUCGGAUUAGCUAGUUGGUGGGGUAAAGGCCCACCAAGGCGACGAUCCGUAGCUGGUCUGAGAGGACGAUCAGCCACACUGGAACUGAGACACGGUCCAGACUCCUACGGGAGGCAGCAGUGGGGAAUAUUGGACAAUGGGCGCAAGCCUGAUCCAGCCAUGCCGCGUGGGUGAAGAAGGCCUUCGGGUUGUAAAGCCCUUUUGUUAGGAAAGAAAAGCAGCAGGUUAAUACCCCGCUGUUCUGACGGUACCCGAAGAAUAAGCACCGGCUAACUUCGUG
Molecule: ribosomal RNA, 492 nt
Filed under: uncultured bacterium
Lineage: Bacteria
Description: partial 16S ribosomal RNA
Rfam family: Bacterial small subunit ribosomal RNA
Source: RNAcentral